RNAcentral lists this unclassified non-coding RNA (429 nucleotides) under Aneides flavipunctatus (black salamander). Its description in RNAcentral is "partial contains 12 ribosomal RNA and tRNA-Val". It matches the Rfam family "Bacterial small subunit ribosomal RNA", at positions 922 to 1533 of the family's 1533-position model. Lineage: Eukaryota; Metazoa; Chordata; Amphibia; Caudata; Plethodontidae. The record is from RNAcentral.
CACUCUGUAAAGGAGACAGUUCANNUAUCGAGNACNCCCCGAUAANCCUCACCACCUCUUGUUAAUACAGCCUAUAUACCANCGUCCUCAGCUUACCCCCCAAAGGGAAAAUAGUAAGCAAAAUCAUUUUAAAUAAAAAAGUCAGGUCAAGGUGUAGCAAAUGGGGUGGAAAGAAAUGGGCUACAUUUUCUAUUACAGAAUAUACAGAAUGUUUUAUGAAAUAUGACAUGAAGGAGGAUUUAGAAGUAAAAGGAAAAAAGAGUGUUCUUUUUAAAUCGGCAAUAGAACGCGCACACACCGCCCGUCACCCUCCUUACACACCAAAAAAUUAAAUAAGUAUUAAUACAACAAGAGGAGAUAAGUCGUAACAUGGUAAGCCUACCGGAAGGUGGGCUUGGAUAUCAGAAUAUAGNUUAAUUAAAGCAUUAA